Molecule: ribosomal RNA, 253 nt
Filed under: uncultured bacterium
Lineage: Bacteria
Description: partial 16S ribosomal RNA
Rfam family: Bacterial small subunit ribosomal RNA
Source: RNAcentral
UACGAAGGGGGCUAGCGUUGCUCGGAAUCACUGGGCGUAAAGCGCACGUAGGCGGAUCUUUAAGUCAGGGGUGAAAUCCUGGAGCUCAACUCCAGAACUGCCUUUGAUACUGAGGAUCUUGAGUCCGGGAGAGGUGAGUGGAACUCCGAGUGUAGAGGUGAAAUUCGUAGAUAUUCGGAAGAACACCAGUGGCGAAGGCGGUCUGCUGGGCAGUAGCUGACACUGAGGCGCGACAGCGUGGGGAGCAAACAGG